GCAUUCCUCUGUCUACCAGCAUCAUCUUACAUUACUGGACAGACUAUUUGUGUCGAUGGUGGCGUGACUGUUAAUGGUUUUGAGCCAAACCUGUUAUAGGAACAUCAUUAAGACUCAAAAAUCUUAGCUUCCUCUACCGCUUUCCUGUUUGGAUCCUGUCUUUUUCCUGAAUAAUCUGUUUGUGAUGGUAAGUACUCUUCUGUUUUUUCGGUGUGGGGUUCAUCUGAAAACAUUGUUGCAUGAUGCUUAUAAUAAUCGUUGGAAAGUUUGUAAGAAGUUACUUAUCAUUGGAUGAGAUUCUUGUGAUGAGUGUUUCCUAUAAUCAGAUUUAUCUUGUUAUAAGGUUGUUGUUGUAGUAGUAACUGCAAUUCAAAGGAAAUUAAUUUAGUAUAAUACUGUAGGUUGUUGUCUAGUGUCUACUACCUCAGCUUCUCAUCCCACCCAACUCUCCCUCUUUAACUACCUAAUAUGAAAUUAAAAUAUGAAUUUAACAACCUGUCCGUCUUGUCCACCGUUUCUUUGGCUCUUCAGUCUUCAGACUUCGGCCUUUUAAAGCAGGACCUAAAAGGUUUGGGCCCAAAUGUUGGAAAAACUUAACACAGGCUGCAAUUUUGGGCCCCAAAACUCUUUCCAACUGGGCCUGAACACUUUUAGGCCCAAGAUGCUUUAGAUUUUGGACUCGCAGACCAUGUAUAUGCCCUCAACACCACCAUGCUUUACUUCAUCCCUUCCUUUCAAAUUAAAAGGAAAUUCAAAUUUCAUGAUGUUACAACUUGCUCAUUGAUGUACAUUCCCAUUCACAAAAAAUAAAAUAUUAAAUGCACUUAUCCAAAAUAUCUUCAUACCUACCUAUUUUUAUUUUUAAAAUAAAAUUUAAACGUUGAAUAACAAAAAUACCAUUUUUGUCAUCCUUACCCUUCACCCUUCCGAAACCCUAAUCUAAUCUUCCCUUUCUCUCUUCUUUCAUUUUCCAUCUUCUUAAAUGGGAAAAUAACGAUCAUCAGAGCCCACCGUGACUUGUGACAGGUUCGAUCCCUUAACAAUGACGAGGCCAUUAUGGAUAAUAUAAGGAUAAGCAUUACAAUAUUUCACUCCUUCACGUGCAUCUCCCUUCACACAAAGAUGCUUCCUUCACUCAUUUUAUAUUAAUAAUAUGAUAAAUUAUACAAAAAAAAAACAAUUUUUUUUUUAUCAAAAUUGUUUUCAACAAUAUUUCAAAUAUAUAUAUAUAUAUAUAUAUAUAUAUAAAUUUGGAAAACUUGUAUUUUGGAGCUGCUAUUUAGAAAUUAUAUAGUUUUCGGAACCCAAAAAUGAGAAAUAUGAUAAUCAAAUUUUAAUAUGAAAAGUAUUAUCGUUUUUGUGCACUUUGAGUAGACUUCAUCUUUUGUGCCCAAAUGGCCCCUCCAUGUCUCCAGCUCAGCAUUCUUAGCAUCAUCCCAACCUUUGUGUCAGUAGAACCAUUGAAAUUAAGAAAAAAAAAAACACAAAAAUCUAAAUUUGUAACUUCUCAAAAAAAAAAAAAAAAAAACCCAAUCUGCAAGUUUUCAAUUUGCUCAUUUGGAAAACAUUUUUUUUUAUAAAUAUCAAUAUUAUUUUUAAAAAAUGGUGACUUUUAGCUUUUAAUUAAAACUAAGAACAAGAAGUUAUUCCAAAUAUGACUUAUGUAUUUAUUCAGUGAAAGUAAUUUUUUCAUUUAAAAAAAGUAAUUUCUUGGUGAUAAAAAGAAAUAUUUUUUUAGUAGCUUUUCGAUGCUAUAAAAAAAGUGUUGGCUAAGUUUGUAUGAUAAAAUUGGUGUUAUUUAUAUACCAGCACUUUCGCUAGGGUCUUAUUUAUUGGGAAAACUGAUUAAUAAACUAAUCUUCUGUUUUGUUUUCAGUUCAAAGAGUGGUAGAGUAGAGGAGGAGGCAUGGCUCAGACAUUUGGGUGCAGCUCUGGAGAUAGUAGAUGGUCUCUCAAGGGAAUGACUGCUCUUGUAACUGGUGGAACUAAAGGAAUUGGGUUGGUGUUACCUGUUUUUAUGUCUUUGGGUUUGGACUAUACCUUCCUAUAUAUAAACGUAUGUAUCAAUUCUGCAGGCAUGCAAUUGUGGAGGAACUGGCUGGAUUAGGAGCAACCAUACACACGUGUUCUCGAAAAGAAACCGAGCUCAAUGAAUGCUUGAAGGAUUGGAAAGCUAAAGGUUUUGGAGUGAGUGGUUCAGUGUGUGAUGUAUCCUCUCGGGCCCAAAGGGAGAAGCUAAUGGAGACUGUCUCUUCUGUGUUCAAAGGGAAGCUGAAUAUCCUUGUAAGUUCCUCUAGUCUCUAAGGUUCCGAUCCAUGAUAUUCCACAUACUUUGUCGAACUUCCAACAAUUUGAGUUCCCCUACUUGAUAUAUAUAUUUUGGUUCCGGAUUCAGGUCAACAACGCUGCUAUUGUUAUUCAGAAACCAACAGUAGAGGUCACGGCAGAAGAGUUCUCAACAAUCAUGGCCAUAAAUUUUGAAUCUGUGUAUCAUCUGUCCCAACUCGCACACCCCCUUUUAAAGGCAUCAGGAGCGGGAAGCAUUGUAUUCAUCUCCUCUGUUGCCGGCGUAGUGUCAAUCAAGUAUCUGUCUGCUUAUUCAGUAACCAAAGGUAUUUCAUUACAUGAUCCACAUUAUAUAUAUAUAUAUAUAUUGCAAGUUCUUGGGUUGUGGCCCUUGUGGCCUUCUCGGCGUGUCAUUAUCAUUAUCAUAUUGUGAUUUUUCAGGAGCAAUGAAUCAGCUUACAAAGAAUUUGGCAUGCGAGUGGGCGGAAGACAAUAUUAGAAGUAAUGCAGUUGCUCCUUGGUACAUCAAAACUCCGAUGGUGGAUCAGGUAAUUCAGUUGCUCUUCUGUUUUGUCUGGGAAAAUUCAAUAAUCAAUUCCUCUCUCUUUUCUGUCUUUUGCAUAAUCUGGGUUGCAGAUGUUCAGUAACAAAACCUUUCUGGAAGAGGUGAUAAAUCGAGCUCCACUUCGCCGUGUGGGAGAUCCGAAGGAGGUGUCAUCUUUGGUGGCAUUCCUCUGUCUACCAGCAUCGUCUUACAUUACUGGACAGACUAUUUGUGUCGAUGGUGGCGUGACUGUUAAUGGUUUUGAGCCAAACCUGUUCUAGGAACAUCAUUAAGACUCUCAAAAAUCUUAGCUUCCUCUACCGCUUUCCUGUUUGGAUCCUGUCUUUUUCCUGAAUAAUCUGUUUGUGGUGGUAAGUACUCUUCUGUUUUUUCGGUGUGGGGUUCAUUUGAAAACAUUGUUGCAUGAUGCUUAUAAUAAUCGUUGGAAAGUUUGUAAGAAGUUACUUAUCAUUGGAUGAGAUUCUUGUGAUGGGUGUUUCCUAUAAUCAGAUUUAUCUUGUUAUUGUAGUAAUAGGAUUGAAAGAAAAAUGCAAAUAAUCAUAAAAGGAUGAUGAAAAUCGGGAAGAGUUCAUCAUUUUUACUUAUUCAAAUAUUACACCAUCUCUUAUUUACAAUAAAUUUCAAAGAGUGUAAGUGAAACCAACCUUAAAUUAAUUUUGUUUGAUAAAUUUAGAUGAAAUUCAACAAGUGUGAAUCUUUAAUUUUUUUUCAUUUCAAUUAAUUUGGUAUCUAUUAUGAGGUUGCCCAUCAAGCUAAAAAUGACCAAAUAUGAUAUAAGCAUGAAGUCUUUGUUAUAUCUCGGAGAUUAAGAAUUGAUUCCAAUACUUUAUAACUUCCUCUUUUUACUUUAUAUAUCCAUGAAUUUAAGAUAGGUCCCUCACAUGUUUAGCUUCUCCCCUUGACGUACGUAGUGUCAUAUGGACAAUAAUUAAUGCUUGUUCAGCUAAGGUCAAAUAUAUGAAAACAAAUAAGAUUCAUUCACGUAAAACAUACAUGUAGCAAAGAGACGAAGGAAAGUGGGUUCUGUGAUCUAUCACACAUCAUGGAAAAAGCUGUGGUACCAUGGCUUUUCCAGGACUUUUCCUUGCAUAAUGGUACUGACAACAGUAUGCUAUUCUGUUGUUACUCUUAAGAUAUUUUAAUAUAAAGUAGCGCGUAUGUACUAUAUACAAUUCAGUGACGCCAUCUAACACGUUAGCCAAUAAGGUUACAAAUUUUAAUUUUAUAUUAAUAAUAUGAUUUGGGUAUGCUCCAUAUUUUAAAAUAUAAUUGAAUCAUAAAUAUCUAGAACUAGAAAUCCUUUUGAGGGACCAAUAACAUAAAUCAUUAAAAUUUUAUAAUUUGAUAUUAUAAAUUCCUAAUUAAAUUUUAAAAUAUAUUAAAUUUAUUUGAUAUAAAUAUAUAUAAAAAUAAAGAAAAAAAUUAAUAUUUUCAUAUGAUAAAUUAUACAAAAAAAAACAAAUAUAUUUUUUUUUAUCAAAGUUGUUUUCAACAAUAUUUCAAAAAUAUAUAUAUAAAUUUGGGAAACUUGUAUUUUGGAGCUGCUAUUUAGAAAUGAUAUGGUUUUCAGAACCCAAAAAUGGGAAAUAUGAUAAUCAAUUUUUAAUAUGAAAAGUAUUAUCGUUUUUGUGCAUUCUGAGUCGGCUUCAUCUUUUGUGCCCAAAUUGCCCCUCCAUGUCUCCAGCUCAGCAUUCUCAACAUCAUCCCAACCUCCAUGUCAGUAGGACCAUUGAAAUUAAGAAAAAAAAAAACACUAAAAUCUAAAUUUGUAACUUCUCAAAAAAAAAAAAACCCAAUAUGCAAGUUUUCAAUUUGCUCAUUUGGAAGCUUUUUCUCAUCUUUUUCUCUCAUUUUAGUUUAGAAACUCAAAUCCAAAACUCUAAAUGUGAUAUGUUGUGGAAUUGUUUUCAUAGUCCUUAACAAGAUGCAUGCGGCAUGUACUGAACUUUAACCUAAUUCCUUCUACCAAUUUUUCUGGCCCCAAGUUACUAGGGACUAUGGCUCCGAUUGGGUGGUUUUUGAGUAGUCAAAAACCAUUUUUAAAGCUUAGUAAAAAAUUUUAUGCCCCUCAUUUUAUUUAAACAAUUUAUAACUUAAAAAAAUAAGAAAAUAAAAAAAAAUGUUUUUUUAAGCUUUAUUUUGACUUAUUCAAAAAGUUUUUUUAUUUUUUUUAUUUUUAUGUUUAAUACAUUUUUUAUAAUUUCAAUAUUAUUUUUAAAAAAUAGUGACUUUUAGCUUUUAAUUAAAACUAAGAACAAGAAGUUAUUCCAAAUAUGACUUAUGUAUUCAUUCAAUGAAAGUAACUUUUUCAUUUAAAAAAAGUAAUUUCUUGGUGAUAAAAAGAAAUAUUUUUUUAGUAGCUUUUUGAUGCUAUAAAAAAAGUGUUGGCUAAGUUUGUAUGAUAAAAUUGGUGUUAUUUAUAUACCUGCACUUUUGCUAGGGUCUUAUUUAUAGGGAAACUUGUGUUUAAUAUGCUCAAUUCUAUUUCUUUGUAUGGCUAUGCAAUUGUUCAGAUUUGGCAACACUAAUCAAUAAAUGUACGUUAUAUUUGAAACAUUGGAAUAAAAAAAAGAAUAAGAGUUAAUUUUAUUUUCAAUUUAUUACUAUAUUUGAAUUAUUUUUUACAAUGAUAAUAGAAUUAAAAAGAAAAUCACUUAGUAACCCUUAGGUACUACCUUAAUAUACCUUAAAUAACCUUAAUCGAUCUUAGAUAUUAUCUUAGUUACACUUGGGUACUACCUAUGUGAAGCCUCAAAACUUCAUUUGUAGACAUUACUUCAUGUGUGAACAUUAGAGAUGACAUUAUGUGCACCUUUAAUAAGUGUUACUAAGGUAGUACCUAAGGUACAAUCAACACUAUAUCAAAGGUGCACAUAAUGUCAUGCUCUAAUGUUCACAAAUAAAGUAAGUAAUGUUUACAAAUGAAGUUUCCAGGCUUCACACAGGUAGUAUCCAAGUCUAAUUAAGUAGUACCUAAGGUCGGUAAGGUAGAUUAAGGUAAUACCUAAGGGUUACUAAGGUAGUACCUAAGGUACAAUCACCACUAUAUCAAAGGGGCACAUAAUGUCAUGCUCUAAUGUUCACAAAUAAAGUAAGUAAUGUCCAUAAAUAAAGUUUCGAGGCUUCACACAGGUGGUACCCAAGUUUAACUGAGAUAAUACCUACAAUUAGUUAAAAUUAGUACCUACAAUCAGUUAAGAUAGUACUUAAGAUAAAUUAAUGUAGUACCUAAAGGUUACUAAGGUAGUACCUAAAGGUUACUAAGGUAGUACCUAAGGUACAGUAAAUACUAAAGAACAAUAAAUAAAAAUUAAUUACCUUCGUAUUUCGAGUAGGGGUUAGGGAAAAAUGUGACAGAAUGACAGGAAGACGAGACAUUUUUUUUUAGGAAACCAAUAUUUUGGAUUUCACCUUUUCGUCCAAGUACGCUUUGCUAUAGAAAAAUCAAUAUCAUAGUUGCGCCUAUUGAAACCAUCUUUUAACUGGACGUUCUUAGGAUGGAGUGCUCCAUUUGGUUGUUGAGAAUUUAGACAAGAAAGAAAAAUGCAGGUUGGAGUUUUGGAUUAAGGGUUUCUUUUCUCAAAUUGAAGAAAUUUUAGGAAAUUUUAAAUGGGUUUUAGGAUCGUCUGGGUGAUAAAGCCAAGAGAAAUAGAGAAAGAAAUGUUUCCAACCUUUAAGAGGAAAAAGUUUCAGAUUUGGGAAAUUUGAGAUGGUUCCCGGGUCAAGUGUUUUUUUGUGUUUUAGAUUUGAGAAGUUUCAAAUUCUUGGAGAAGAUAUAAAUAUGUAGAUUUGAAUUUUAAGGGUUUCUUUUUUGAAAUGAGAGAAAUUUUGGAAAAUUUUAUAGGUGUCUUUCUAAUUCGGCUAGGUAAGGAAGUGAAGAGAGUUGAGAGAAAAUGUUCCCAAAUGAGAGAGAUGGAAAGUUUUUGAUUUGGGAAAUUAGAGGUGUUGUCAGGAUGGGUGUUUAUGAGAACUUUCAAAUUCUAAUUUUUGUGUUUUGUUUAAUUUCAGAAGGUCUUGUUGACAUGAAAAGCUGACUUACUGCUGACAUGGAGACAUUGAGGGACAAUCUGGGAAUAGAAAAUGUAAACAUGACAUAGUGCAUGAGAACGAUAAUAUUUUCUCCAAUAACAGGGAAAUAUCAUAUUUCAUAUACUUGGGGUUCGAAAAGCAUAUAAUUUUCAAAUCACAGACUGAAAACACAAGUUUCCCAUAAAUAUACUUAAAGCAUGUUUGAUAACAAUUUUGAAAAAUAAUUUUCGAAAAUAGUUAUUUAAAAUUGUUUUUUGAUGUUUACAACAUAAAAAAAAAAAAAAAACAUGUUUGACAACCUAAAAUAAUUUUUAUAUCUAAUAUUUUAUUUUUAAUAAUUCGAUAUAUUUGUAUAAUUAUUUUUAAAAAUAGCUGUAAAAAAUAAGUGAAAACAAGUAAAGAUGUUAUCCGAAAACAUUAUAUUUUUUAUUUUUAAAAACAAAAAAUAGUUUUUCUUAUUCUCAAACAAGUUUUCCUGUUUUUUACGAAGAAAAAAUUAUUGUCAAACAAUCCCUUAUAUACUUGUGUUUUAUCAAGUGGUGAAAUAUCUUUGUAUGAAUUAUAUAGCAACUCAUAAGAGUAAGAGAAAAAGAGACAAUUUUAAAAGUGCAUAUGACAAGUGGAAAUUAUUAGAAAAGAGGCAAUUUUAAGAAUGGAUUUGAUAUGUGUCACAAAGACCACUAAAAUUUGGUGUGAAUAUAUAAAUAAGUUUUAAAUUUUGUUGAUUAACAUAUCUAUAAAUUUUUUUAUUUAUAAAAUUUAAUUUUUAGAGAAAUUUUAGAUAAAAAGAUUUUAGAUCUAUUCAAUCAAAAAUUGAAAGAGUAACUUAAUGUAUUUACUCUAAGCCUCAUGGUGUGUGAAUUAAACCAACCUUCAAAGAAAAAUAGAAAAAAAAAAAAGUGAAUCAUAAUAAAAAGGAAAGUAGUCAAAAUCAAAAGGAGAAUCAAAUUUGAUUUCCAUAUUAGUGAUUUUUUAAAAAAAAUUCUAUUAUCAUUGUAAAAAAUAAUUCAAAUACAUUAAUAAAUUGAAAAUAAACUUAACUCUUAUUCUCAUUUCUUAUUCCAAUGUUUCAAAUAUAACGUCCAUUUAUUGAUUAGUGUUGCCAAAUCCGAACAAUUGCAUAGCAAUACAAAGAAAUGGAAUUGAGCAUAUAAAACACUUUUUUUUUAUAGUAUCAAAAAGCUACUGAAAAAAAUAUUUCUUAUCUCCAAGAAAUUACUUUUUUAAAAUGAAAAAAUUACUUUCAUUGAAUGAAUACAUAAGCCGUAUUUGGAAUAACUUCUUAUUCUUAAUUUUAAUUAAAAGCAAAAAGUCACAAUUUUUUAAAAAUAAUAUUGAUAUUAUAAAAAAUGUAUUAAACAUAAAAAAACCUUUUUGAAUAAAUCAAAAUAAAGCUUUAAAAAAAACAUUUUCUUGAUUUUCAUAUUAAGUUAUUUUUUAAGUUAUAAAUUAUUUAAAUAAAAUGAGCAGCAUAAAAAAUCUUAUAGAGCUUUAAAAAUGGUUUUUGACUACUCAAAUCCACCCAAUCGGAACCAUCAUCCCGGUAACUUGGGGCCAGAAAAAUUGGCAAAAGGAAUGAGGUUAAAGUUCAGUACGUGUUGCAUGCAUCUUAUUAAAGACCAUAAAAGCAAUUCCAUAAUAUAUCACAUUUGGAGUUUUGGAUUUGGGUUUUUAAACUAAAAUGAGAGAAAUUUUGGGUUGUCGAAAGCGAAGAAAGAUGAGAGAAAACUUUCAAAUAAGUAAAUUGAAAACUUACAGAUUGUGUGUGUGUGUUUUUUUUUUUUUUUUUUAAAAAAAGUUAUAGAUUAAGAUUUUAAUAUUUUUUUUUUCUUAAUUUCAGUGGUUUGAUUGAUAUAGAGGUUGAAAUGAUGUUGAGGAUGCUAAGCUGGAGACAUGAAUGGGCAACUUGGGCAUGAAAGAUGGAGCCAGCUCAGAGGCAUAAAAACGAUAAUACUUUUUAUAUUAAAAAUUGAUUUUCAUAUUAAAUUUUAUACAUCUAUUUUAAAACAAUUAAAAUUUUAUUCAAUUUUCAAUUAUAAUAUAUGCACUGCCUCUCGCGGGUCGAUACUGCUGACGAGUGCAUGAAAUUAUUAUAAAUAUCUCAUGGAAUGAGGACAGAUUAAAGAAGAGGAGAGAGAGAGAGAGAGAGGGAGAAGAAGAAGACAACCAAAAAAGAAAAGGAAGACAGCAUUGUAAACAUAGAAAAUGGAAAGUAUUGGAAAUAUUUCAUGAAAUCGGAGUAAACAACAAAACAAAAUAAAAUACUUUUAAUCCCUGUUUCCUACUUCUGUCAUAAAGUAUGGAUAGAGAUGAGACGAAGGAGGAGAAGGAGGAGAAGGAGGAGCACUCAGCUUUCACCGAUACUGCAGUGUGUUGUGGUGGUGUAGCAUAUGGUAGGAUGUCAUUCUUGCUCCAAAAGUGUGGGCAGAUCCAUUUUUAUUUUCCUUUUUUCAUCUCUGUCCUCACUGAUUCGUUUUGGGUAUCCAUCAAUAUUUAUCAGUGGGCUUGGUGUUAGUCAAAAGCCACCAAUUUUUCUUUCCUUUUUUUUUUUCCCAUAUAUUAGAAUGAAAUGUUGUUGUCCAUUUUAGGGGAAGGCGUUAUGCUGAACUGAACUGUGCGAGGGGAAUGAAAAUUAAUUUAGGGGUUUUCUUCCUCCUCUAUUUUUGGCUCUCUUUCAUGAGGGUACAGAUUCUCUUUUUUUCUCUCGGAGUGUUUGGAUUGUUUCAUUCCAUUUAACUAUUUUUGCAGCAUAUUCCGAGUGUUAUAGGUAUUGGGUAAUCAGUAAUACAGAAAAUGUAAUAUAAUUUUGUACUAUGUAGUUUUGGACUUGGGGUAGGAUGAGUUUAAUUUAUGUAGAUUCAUGUCACUAUUCUCAGCCUUCAAUGCAUUGAUUUCUCCAGAUUUUGAUAUAUAUAUAUAUAUAUAUAUACAAACUGCAAUGGGAAUAAAAAGGAUGGUUGUUUCUUCAAGAAUUCUGAGAAAAAAAAAGGGGGUGGGGGGGCAAGAGAGGUUUGAGGAGGCCAUUGGGACUGUUAUCAGUUCUGUGUCUUUUGUUUUCAAGUUGUAAGAAGUCCCUGUUAUGCCAUUUGCUAUGUUGUUUCUGUCCAAUUUUCAGUUGAAAGAGUGGUAGAUUAGAGAAGGAGGAAUGGCUCAGACAUCUGGAUGCAGCUCUGGAGAUAGUAGAUGGUCUCUCAAGGGAAUGACUGCUCUCGUAACUGGUGGAACUAAAGGAAUUGGGUUUGUGAUGUUACCUGUAUUCUAUGUCUUUGGUUUGGACUACACCUUCCUUCCCAUAUAUAAAUGUAUGUAUCAAUUAUGCAGGCAUGCAAUUGUGGAAGAACUGGCUGGACUAGGAGCAACCAUACACACAUGUUCUAGAAAAGAAACCGAGCUCAAUGAAUGCUUGAAGGAUUGGAAAGCUAAAGGUUUUGGAGUGAGUGGUUCAGUGUGUGAUGUAUCCUCUCGGGCCCAAAGGGAGAAGCUAAUGCAGACUAUCUCUUCUGUGUUCAAUGGGAAGUUGAAUAUCCUUGUAAGUUCCUCUAGCCUGUAAAGUUCCAACCUGUGAUCUUAUACAUAAUUUGUUGAACUUAUUACAAUUGAGUUCCCCUGCUUGAAUUUUUGUUGGAUUCAGAUCAACAAUGCUGCUAUAAGUAUUCAGAAACCAACAAUAGAGGUCACAGCUGAAGAGUUCUCAACAAUCAUGGCCACAAAUUUUGAAUCUGUGUACCAUCUGUCCCAAAUCGCACACCCCCUUUUAAAGGCAUCAGGAGCCGGAAGCAUUGUAUUCAUCUCCUCUGUUUCCGGCAUAGUGGCACACAAGAAUAUCUCUGCUUAUUCAGUAACCAAAGGUAUUUCAUCACAUGAUCCAUGGUAUAUUCCAAGUGCUAGGAGUAAAUUCCUAUUUACCAGAGCAAUACUGAACAAGAGAAACAUAUAGAAUUUAUAGCGGUUCUCUUCUAAAGGGAGAGCUACAUCCAUUUUGCCAUUGUAGAUUUUCAUUAUGAAAAAAAAAAAAACCUACAGAACGAUCUCAGGUCUUACAAUAAUUAUCUCAUCUCUGAUUUUCCACAGAGAAAACAGUCACCAUGCAUGUACAAAAUAACUAUAAUAUCCCUUUGAUUGAUUCUCAGUCACCAGGAAAAGUGUAUAUUGUAAUUAGCAAGGCUCCACACAACUGAACAGCAAGUCCUUGGAUUGACCAUCUGUCAUUAUCAUUUUGUGAUUUUUCAGGAGCAAUGAAUCAACUUACAAAGAAUUUGGCAUGCGAGUGGGCGAAAGACAAUAUUAGAAGUAAUGCUGUAGCUCCUUGGUACAUCAAAACUCCAAUGGUGGAGCAGGUAAUUUCUAAUUUCCCUUCACAUCAUUUAGUUGCUCGAAUUCCCUUCUUUUUUUCUUGGUCUGGGAAAAUAGAAUAAUUGACUCGUCCUUCCUUCUCUGUCGUUUACAUUCUCUGGGUUCCAGAUGCUCACUAACCAAGCCUUUCUGGAAGAGGUGAUAAAUCGAGCUCCACUUCGUCGUGUGGGAGAUCCAAAGGAGGUGUCAUCUUUGGUAGCAUUCCUCUGCCUACCGGCAUCAUCUUACAUUACUGGACAGAUUAUUUGUGUUGAUGGUGGCAUGACUGUUAAUGGUUUUGAGUCAAACCUGCUCUAGGAACAUCAUAUGUGAUGGUAUUAUAGCCCUAAUUUGGCUGGCAUGUAUGGAGACUCUUUCAAACAUCUUAGCUUCCUCUACUGCUUCCAUGCCUGGAUCCUUUCUUUUUCCUGAAUAAUCUGCUUGUCAUGCCAAAGUCUUUAGUUUUUUUGGUGUGGGGUUCCCUUGAAAACCUUGCUGCAUGAUGCUUAUAAUAAUGUUUGGAAAGUUUGCUAAUUUUUAUUUGGGUUCAAAUUUUAAUUUUUCAAAAAGUUUCUUAUUAUUUGAUGAGAUUCUUGUGAAGGGUGUUUUUAUAAGGAUUUUAAUUCCAUACAUAAAUCAUACAUCUUUAAUCUCAAUACCAUUGAAAUAUAUAUCCAAUCCUUUGUUGUUCUUUCGUUUUUUUGUAACUUAAUUGUAGUAGGAUCGGAAAUAUGCGAACACUUUCUACUUUUGACCAUUUGCUUUGCUAAAUUAGACCAACUUUUCAUAAUACAAUUCUCAAGUAUUUCUUCAUUUUCAUUACAAUGAUCAUGCAUGGAUAUGGAAAAACUAAUCGGACUCUAAUGUCGUUCAAAUGCAUUUCAUAGAUCAAUCUUCAUCGUCGUAUCCUAAUUUUCAAAACUUGUUAGAACUUCUAAACUUAGUCAAUAUGUAUAGACAUGAUAUCCUCCAUGAUUUUUUUUUAUUGCAACGAAAAAAAGUUAUACAUUCUAUAUUUGAUCCCUAAAUAAAAAAGAAAAAAAGAAAAAAAAAAGAAUGUCUUGCAAAAAUAUUAGGGUUGCACAAAGUUUGGUUGUUAGAAUAAGUAAAAAUGAUGUGCAUCAAAAUAUGUCUUUGAGAAUGGCAAAUAUGUGAGUGCGCUUUAAAAACUCAAAUGGCUUCAAAUGAAUUUCAAGGAAAUGAUUCCAACAUAUAUUCAUCUUCUUAUACCUUUCUGUGCUUCUCCACCAUUUGUAACAAUUUCCUCACUCAUUUGUAAUCCUAAUAAACCUUCCGACCUAUUUUAAAAUUUGUCAAUAUAUUUUAAGCUAAGCUCACCAUCUAUAGUAUCAAAAAAAUUUCUCCUUAAUCCAUGUGGGAUAUGUAUAAUGAAUAAUAUUUGCUCAAAGGUUAAAUAUAUGAAAAUAAUUAAGAUUCAAUCACAUAAAAAUUACAUAUAGCAAGUAGGGAUAACAAUUUUGAUACUAAUAUAAUAAAACGACUAAAAAAUUACAUGGAUUUUAGUAGUUUUGGGUUAAGUAUAAUCAUAUUUAUGUUAUAAUUGUGUAAACACAUUUAUUAAACCAAUGAUAUUGGAAUGUGACUAUUCAACUCAUUUAACCCAUUUAUUUAUUCAUAUCAAAACACAUCUAUGAUAUGAUUAUGAGAACUAAUUUAUGAUUGACAUAACCAAUUUAUAACUUAUUAAUUAAUUCAUAUAAAUUUAUUAAUUUUAUAGAUAUUUAAAAAAUAUUAAAAAUUUAAAACACUUUUUCAAUUAUAAAGAUGUCCUAUAAAACACUAAGGAGGUCACCCUUAUUUAUAUAUGAAAUUAGGGAAUUAAAUUUGAAAUAUAUGAUAUUUGAUUACUUAAUUUAAAGAAUUUGAUUUCUUAAUUUCAAUAACUUUUCAGCCUCAUUUAAGAAAUUUGCCAACAAUCAAAUGUUUUUUCUAAGUCCCUUUUGACUUCAAUUUCCCAAUUUGUUUCUCCUAUUUGAGAAAUCUAUCAAUAAGAAAAUAUUUCUCUCUAAUUCCUUUUUAACUUUAAUUAUUUUAUUUUAUUUUAUAAGACUAGAUUUUGAAACCGUUCAAAUUUUACCGUGUGUUAUUUUUAAAAUCGUAUAUCGCAUGUUCAAUGUGUAGAAUUCAUGACUUAUGAAAUCCAAAUUUUAUUGAACUAUAGGGUUAUAACUUUAGUGACAAAUUUUAUAGUAAUUUAAUCCUUCUUUUAUUUUUAAGCCUACAUAGCUCAACAAGUUGAAUAUAUUUUUAUCGUGUUAAUGGGUUAUCAGUCUUGAUUUAAUUUAAUUUAUCAAAGAGGUUAAAUGAAUGAUUCCCAAUUUGCCACCACAAUAACAAGAGACAACAGACAGAAGGAAAGAGAAACUAAAAUACGUAAUGUGACUUUUCCUUUCAUGUUGCUUACUAUACUUGGUGUCUCUUAAUUUGUUUUUAUUAUAAGAUGUUAAUAAUAUGAUUUUAUUGAUUUAUACCCCAUAUAUAUCAUUUGAGGGAUUGAAAAUAUUGCAAAUUCAUAAUUAAAUUUAAAAGAUAAAUACAUAUACACACACACACAUAUAUAUAUAUAUAUAUAUAUAUAUAUAUAUAUAUAUGAAUAAAAAAAAUCAUCUAUGUAUAAAAUAAUAAUAAGUAGUCUAUUUUUAUCAUUUUUAUGUUAGAAGUUAAUCGAAAACAUAUUUUUUGUUUUUCCAUAAUUUAUACAAAAUUAUAAUAAAAUUUUUAUUCUAGAUAAAAUUAUAUUUUAUAAUUUGUAAUAAUUUAAUUAUAUCAAUUUAAUAUUUUGAUAUCCGUCGUAAAUUAUAUAGAAAUAUUGGAGUGCAAAUACUAAACUACAUAAUAACAACAAGACACCUUAUUCAUCCAAAUUUUCAAAUUUCAAAUAGAAAAUAUUAAAAACAUAAUUUUUAAAUUUAUUAAAAUAUUUAUAUUUGUAAAAAAGUAAUUAAUAAAGAUUUUAAAAUUUUAAAUAUGAUUAAUGAGAUUAUUAUGUGGGUAUUUAUUACUAAUAUUUAAUAUUAAAAAAAAUAAAAUAACAAUAUGAUAUUAAGAUUAUAUUUUUAUAAAUAUAGCAAAAUGAGAUUAUUCUAAAUUCAGUGAUGAUAACAUUAUAGUAAAAAUAAGGAGUGAUAUAAUUAUAAAUAUUUCACUAAGAGCAUAAAAAAUAAAAAAAUAUGGUAAAUUUAGCGAGUAAUAUUGUUACUAUAAAUAUCUGGUGACACGACGACAGAUAUAUGAGUAGAGAAAAACCUCGCUAUUCUACAUAUAGAGAUUCAGAUACCAUUGCCUAUGUCAUGAAAUCAGAGUCCACAAGAAGACAACAUAAAAUGCUAUCGAUCCAUCGCUGUUUCUUGCUCCUGUUAUAAAUUAUGGAUACUAGAUGAAGAUGAGAAGUAGAAGGAGAAGAAACACUUAGCUUUCAAGGAGUCGUAGAGCAGAGGAGGAGACAUGGCUCAGACAUGUGGGUGCAGCUCUGGAGAUAGUAGAUGGUUUCUCAAGGGAAUGACUGCUCUUGUAACCGGUGGAACUAAAGGAAUUGGGUUGGUGUUACCUGUUUUUACGUCUUUGGGUUUGGACUACACCUUCCUAUAUAUAAACGUAUGUAUCAAUUCUGCAGGCAUGCAAUUGUGGAGGAACUGGCUGGAUUAGGAGCAACCAUACACACGUGUUCUCGAAAAGAAAGCGAGCUCAAUGAAUGCUUAAAGGAUUGGAAAGCUAAAGGUUUGGAGUGAGUGGUUCAGUGUGUGAUGUAUCCUCUCGGGCCCAAAGGGAGAAGCUAAUGGAGACUGUCUCUUCUGUGUUCAAUGGGAAGCUGUAUAUCCUUGUAAGUUCCUCUAGUCUCUAAGGUUCCUAUCCAUGAUAUUCCACAUACUUUGUCGAACUUCCUACAAUUUGAGUUCCCCUACUUGAUAUAUAUAUAUAUAUAUAUAUUAUAUACUUUUUUUUAGAACCAGACAGCUUUGGUUUCAAAGACCCUACAUUUACCCAUCAUCCUUGUUAAAUAAUUAUGAGGAAGUCAUACUUACACGUGGAGAUUGAAAAAAAUAAUGAAUGAAUUCCACCAAAUGAAUUAAUUUUGUUUGGCAAUUUCAUUUGAAAAUCAACAAAGAAUGAUGUGAGGUGUGAAUCUUUUUCCAUAUAUCAGCGCACAUAUUCAAAUUCAGCCCUUUCCAUUAAUCUGAUAGCGAUUAUGAGGUUGCGUAGAUGCUACAACAACGACCAAAUGUGAUGAAGAUUUCAGGAAGUGUUGUGAAGAAUUUGAAGAAAAAUAUGAAGAAUUUGAAACAAAAUAUGGAGGAACACCUCAAUUCAUUCUGUGAUACCUUCCUUUACAAUGAAUGAAAGCAUAAAUAAAUAGCCUACGGAUAUGAGACAAUUCCGGAAUGGAAUUUCCCUUACAUGGAAAGUGAAUAAACUCUUACAUGGGAAGUGAAUAAACUACUCUUACAUGGAAAGUGAAUAAACUACCUUGCUAGAAUUACUCCUAAAUAUAUAAACUACUCUUACAUGGAAAGUGAAUAAACUACCUUGCUAGAAUUACUCCUAAAUCAAUUAUAAUAAAGGCUGUACAUUACACUAAUUAGGGAAGUAAACAGAGGAUGCUGGCUUGAUUUCCAACACUCCCCCUCAAGCCGCAUUGUAGAUGUUGAUCAUUCCAAGUUUUUCUGUCAGAUCUUCGAAGUUAACUCGAGCAAGAGCUUUUGUGAGAAUGUCAGCCGUUUGACAGUUUGUCGGAGUGUAGCUGACUUUGAAAACUCCUUCUUCAAUCUUUUCCUUGAUAAAGUGUCGAUCUAUCUCCACGUGCUUAGUUCGAUCAUGAUGAACCGGAUUCUUAGCGAUACUGAUGGCAGCUUGAUUGUCGCAGUAUAACACCAUGGGAUGCUUCAAUGGAACCCGUAAUUCUUCUAACAGCCUGUUCAACCAGAUUCCCUCGCAGAUACCUUGUGCCAUAGCACGAAAUUCUGCCUCAGCACUGCUACGGGCUACCACUGACUGUUUCUUGCUUCGCCAUGUAACCAAGUUCCCUCAGACAAAUGAACAAUAGCCUGAAGUUGAUCUCCGAUCAGUCACUAAACCUGCCCAAUCUGCAUCUGAAAAAAUCUCUAUCUCUUUAUUUGUUGUUCUUUGAAAGAAGAGACCCUUUCCCGGUGUCAUCUUGAGGUAUCUCAAUAUUCUGAUCACAGCAAUCAUGUGUUUUUCGGUUGGAUUAUUCAUGAAUUGACUUACCACACUAACGGAGAAGCCGAUGUCUGGCCUUGUAUGAGAAAGAUAGAUGAGUUUCCCCACAAGACGUUGAUAUCUUCCUUUAUCAACUGGCGCACUUCCAUCACAUUUCUUCCANNNNNNNNNNNNNNNNNNNNNNNNNNNNNNNNNNNNNNNNNNNNNNNNNNNNNNNNNNNNNNNNNNNNNNNNNNNNNNNNNNNNNNNNNNNNNNNNNNNNNNNNNNNNNNNNNNNNNNNNNNNNNNNNNNNNNNNNNNNNNNNNNNNNNNNNNNNNNNNNNNNNNNNNNNNNNNNNNNNNNNNNNNNNNNNNNNNNNNNNNNNNNNNNNNNNNNNNNNNNNNNNNNNNNNNNNNNNNNNNNNNNNNNNNNNNNNNNNNNNNNNNNNNNNNNNNNNNNNNNNNNNNNNNNNNNNNNNNNNNNNNNNNNNNNNNNNNNNNNNNNNNNNNNNNNNNNNNNNNNNNNNNNNNNNNNNNNNNNNNNNNNNNNNNNNNNNNNNNNNNNNNNNNNNNNNNNNNNNNNNNNNNNNNNNNNNNNNNNNNNNNNNNNNNNNNNNNNNNNNNNNNNNNNNNNNNNNNNNNNNNNNNNNNNNNNNNNNNNNNNNNNNNNNNNNNNNNNNNNNNNNNNNNNNNNNNNNNNNNNNNNNNNNNNNNNNNNNNNNNNNNNNNNNNNNNNNNNNNNNNNNNNNNNNNNNNNNNNNNNNNNNNNNNNNNNNNNNNNNNNNNNNNNNNNNNNNNNNNNNNNNNNNNNNNNNNNNNNNNNNNNNNNNNNNNNNNNNNNNNNNNNNNNNNNNNNNNNNNNNNNNNNNNNNNNNNNNNNNNNNNNNNNNNNNNNNNNNNNNNNNNNNNNNNNNNNNNNNNNNNNNNNNNNNNNNNNNNNNNNNNNNNNNNNNNNNNNNNNNNNNNNNNNNNNNNNNNNNNNNNNNNNNNNNNNNNNNNNNNNNNNNNNNNNNNNNNNNNNNNNNNNNNNNNNNNNNNNNNNNNNNNNNNNNNNNNNNNNNNNNNNNNNNNNNNNNNNNNNNNNNNNNNNNNNNNNNNNNNNNNNNNNNNNNNNNNNNNNNNNNNNNNNNNNNNNNNNNNNNNNNNNNNNNNNNNNNNNAUGCAUGAAACGUAGGUGAUAGCUUAUCAUAAGAAAAUAAAAUUUCCAAAUGGGAUGCUGAGUGCAUGAUCUAACUCCUUUCCUCCAAGCUAUGGGCAUAUUAAGAAUAUCAUUUUCUAACUCGGAAUCAACAGUACCAUCAGGAGCGUUGUUACCUGGAAGUUUGCUUGGAUUAGGACCCGGUUCUGCCUCAUGGGUUUGUUGAGAAAGUGAUCUUUCCUCCGUUUCCUCUUGGAUGUGCUCCUUAUCCCACAAGUCAACAAUGGACUCGGGUUGAUUAAAUGACUCUGGAGGAAUGUGAUUUUCAGUGGUGAUGGGUGACUCACUGAAUGACUCAAGAUCCCAAAAUUGAUAUUCCUGAGUUGAAUUCUCCCCCUGAAUAUCGUUUUUGGGAUAGUAAGGCUGGGUUUCAAAAAAGGUGACAUCCAUUGAAUUUUAGAAUUUUCUUGUGACCGGAGAGUAACACUUAUACCCUUUUUGAUUUGAAGAAUACCCAAGAAAGAUGCACUUGAGUGACCUAGGAUCAAGUUUACUUCUAUGUUGUUGAUUGAUAUGAACAAAGAUAGAGCACCCGAAAAUUUUAGGUGGGACGGUGGAGAUGAGACGAGUAGUCGGAAAGGAUUUUAGGAGUGUUUGACAAGGUGUUUGGAAUUUUAGUACCCUAGACGGCAUCCUAUUGAUGAGGUAGGCUGCCAUAAGGACAGCUUGCCCCCAGAAUAAUUUUGGAACAUUCAUGGAGAACAUUAGUGAUCUAGCCACCUCUAACAAAUGCCUAUUUUUCCUUUCAGCGAUUCCGUUUUGUUGUGGGGUAUCAACACAUGAAUUUAAGUGAACUAUCCCUUCUUGUGCUAGAAAUUCUCCUAGAAUGGAGUUGAAAUAAUCCCUAGCAUUAUCAGACUUUAGAAUUUGUAUUUUUGACUGGAAUUGAGUCUGAAUCAUAUUUUUAAAAUUUUUGAAAAUUUGACUCGUUUCAGAUUUUUCUUUCAUGAGGAAUACCCAAGUUAAUCUAGUGUGAUCAUCUAUGAAUGAGACAAACCACCUAGUACCAGUUACAUUUUUUAUUCUUGAUGGACCCCAGAUAUUGCUAUGAAUCAUUGAGAAUGGACUAGACUCUUUAUAGGGUUGAAUGGGAAAAUGAGACCGGACUUGCUUUGAUAAUUGACAGAUUUCACACUCAAAGGAUUUUGGAUUUUUAUUAAAUAAUGAAGGAAAUAAAUGCUUGAGAUACAUAACAUUUGGAUGACCUAAGCGAUAGUGCCACAACCUAAUUGCACUAUCGUUAUUUUGACAUGAAACCAAAAAAGAAUUACUACCAACUGUCAUUUGAGGUUGUUCUUGUGGAUCGUGGCGCUCCUUAAGGAUGUAGAGUCCAGAGCAUUCCUCAGCAUUGCCAAUCGUCUUCCCCGAAUCCAAAUCCUGAAAUUCACAGUGAGUGGAGGAAAAAUUAGUAGAUACACCUCUUUUCCUUAGUGAGUUUACUAANNNNNNNNNNNNNNNNNNNNNNNNNNNNNNNNNNNNNNNNNNNNNNNNNNNNNNNNNNNNNNNNNNNNNNNNNNNNNNNNNNNNNNNNNNNNNNNNNNNNCGUCAUAUGAUCAGAUGCUCCUGAGUCCACUAUCCAAGGUUUUUUACGUUUCUUACCAGCAGUGAAGGCACUCAAAAAAUUACCUUUGUGAGCCAAGGUUCCGGAACCAAUGACCUGGUUGGAAGAUGAGCCAGUUUGUGACUGUACUGACAAAAGAGGAGACAGUAGUUUCUGAAGCAUCUCCAUCUGAUGAGAGGAUGAAGACGAUGAGAUGAUGAUAUCAGAAGUAGAGGAUGAUGAGUUGGUAGCCAUUCCAAAGGCUGGACCGUAUUUAGGCAUAAAUUAGAAGAAUAGAAUUGAGUAAAAAAAAACUGACUAAAGAUGAAGACGAUGAGACAGGAUUAAACCUGCUCUGAUACCAUGAAGAAUUUGAAGAAAAAUAUGAAGAAUUUGAAAACAAAAUAUGGAGGAACACCUCAAUUCAUUCUGUGAUACCUUCCUUUACAAUGAAUGAAAGCAUAAAUAAAUAGCCUACGGAUAUGAGACAAUUCCGGAAGGGAAUUUCCCUUACAUGGAAAGUGAAUAAACUCUUACAUGGGAAGUGAAUAAACUACUCUUACAUGGAAAGUGAAUAAACUACCUUGCUAGAAUUACUCCUAAAUCAAUUAUAAUAAAGGCUGUACAUUACACUAAUUAGGGAAGUAAACAGAGGAUGCUGGCUUGAUUUCCAACAUGUUGGAGUGCGCAUGCUUGAGGAUGAAAACUGUGAACUUGAAAUGACUUAGAAGAUUAAUUUAAGUUUUCAAAUACAUAAAAUAUAAUUAAUAACAUAACUUAAUACAAUAAGUUAAGGCUUCCUAAAGUCUUAAAAUAAAUAACUUUUUCCCAACCUGAAAUAUCCUUUGCCUUGGUAAUAUUCAUGUUCUUCAAGAUCAAAAUUAGUUUGUUUGAUAUAUAAUUCAAAUUAAAAGAUGGAGGGUGUGCCGGGUCCUUUCUAAAUUCAAAAUGGCAUCAUGAAUCAGGUAAGGUUGUGCCCCACGGAUGAAAAUAUAGUAUUAGUUUGGACAAUGUGCCAUGGAAAGAAGAUAGAUUAAGUUCUACAUAUUCAUAUCAGUUGUCUCAGCUUUCACGGCAGACAUUUUCGACGCAAGAGACCGUCUCUUGCGGUGAGUAUUAACCACACUUCUAAAGUUGGAUGUUCGAGAAGACAACUGGGAUUGAUCAGUUUUGUCUCUUUUAUUUUCAGCUUCCUAGAAUCUCUCUCUCUAUCUCUCUUUUUUUUUUCUCAAGGUUAAUGUCAUUUUCUAUGUUGUGGUAGAGUAGAGAAGAACUCAGAAGGCAUGGCACAGACUGGCUGCAGCAAUGGAGAUAAUAGAUGGUCUCUCAAGGGAAUGACAGCCCUUGUAACGGGUGGAAUGAACUUUGAUCUGUCUCUGCCAAUUAUCACCUUGUUUUUAUAUCAAUUCUGCAGGCAUGCUGUUGUGGAAGAACUGACUGGAUUAGGUGCAAGAAUACAUACAUGUUCUCGAACAGAAACUGGGCUUAAUGAAUACUUAAGGGAUUGGGAGGGUAAAGGUUUUGAAGUCACUGGCUCAGUCUGUGAUGUAUCCUCUAGGGCCCAAAGAGAGAAGCUAAUGGAGACAGUAUCUUCUAAGUUUAAUGGGAAGCUGAAUAUCCUUGUUAGUUCCUCUAGUUUGUUAAAUGUGACCCAUCCAUUUUAGAAUCAUUUUCACUAAAUAUAAUUGAUGAGUUACCCUAACUGAAUCUUUGAAUUUAGAUCAACAACGCUGGAACUGGCAAACCGGGACGGACAGUGGAGUUCGCAGCUGAAGAGUUCUCAACGGUCAUGGCUGUAAAUUUUGAAUCUGUGUAUCAUCUAUGCCAACUUGCGCAUCCCCUUCUGAAGGCCUCAGGAGCGGGAAGUAUUGUGCUCAUGUCUUGUGUUUCAGGUGUAGUAUCACUCAAGUAUCUAUCUGCCUAUGGAGCAACCAAAGGUACUUCAUGCCACCAUCGGGUUUAUGUUGCAGGUCCUGUGUUGUUGGACAAGAUGAUAGAUAUUUACCUUUAAAAUUUUUCUUUCGGGGGCACUGAAUCAGCUUGCAAAGAACUUGGCAUGCGAGUGGGCGCAAGACAAUAUCAGGACAAACUCUGUUGCCCCUCGGUACAUCAAAACUUCUCUGGUAGAACCUGUGAGUUUAAUUCCCUUCACCUCAUUUAAAAGUUGCUGUUGUUUUCAUUGGGAAAACUGAUUAAUAAACCAAUCUUCUGUUUUGUUUUCUUUUAUUUUUUUGGUUGUAUCAUUUUGGUUUCAGUUUCUUAGUGAGAAAAGCUUUACGGAAGAGGUAAUAAGAAGAACUCCGCUUGGUCGAGUGGGGGAUCCAAAGGAGGUGUCAUCCUUGGUAGCAUUCCUCUGCCUACCAGUAUCAUCUUACAUUACUGGCCAGACCAUUUGUGCUGAUGGUGGGAUGAAUGUUAAUGGUUUCGAUCCGAGUCAAUGCUAGAAACAACUAGCAUUUAUAUAAUUGUUGUUUUCUCAUAUUUUUCAUACUCACUCUAAUAUUCUUCAUUAUCAUAUUUAUAUAUAUAUAUAUAUAUAGAUAUAUAUAUAUAUUUAUGUAGGUGUACGUGCACACGUGUGUUCAUGUGCGGAUCAUGGACAUUUUUUUUGUAUUCUGUCAUAUUCUUCUUACACUCUCAAAAUAUUCAUAUAUUUUUUACAAUCUUCAUGCAUUUUUUUUUUUUAAUUCUUGAUAUUCUCUCAUAUUCUUUGUAUAAUUUAUAUUGGAAAAAUGAAUAAAAAAAAUAUGGUUUAAAAUUGAUAAAAUAAGAAUAAAAGAUAUAAAAAUAAAAUAAAAUGAUAGAAAAAUAUCAAUAUUAGAGGAAGAUAUACUUGGAUAAUUAGACGCUAAAACCUUGAAGAUGCAAACAUAGUAUGUGGCUAUUUAAUGAGGAACUUAAGGAAUUUGUUCAAUAAUAGUAGCUACCAUGGGAUUAAAGGAUAGUGUAAACGAGUCCGAGGGAGAAACAAUUUUAAUAAAAAAUUAAUUAAAAAUUUAUAUAUUUGUAAUAAAAAUUUGAAAUAAGUUAAAUUAAUUUAAAAUGAUAUAUAAAAAUGAUUUACUGCUUUAAAUCUAUUUUUAUUUUUUAUUUUUUUUUCAUUUCUUUUUUACUUUUUCUUUAUAUAUAUAUAUAUAUAUAUAUAGAUAUAGAUAUAGAUAUAUAUAUUAUAUAUUUUUUUGAGAACCAGCCAGCUUUGGUUUCAAAGACCCUACAUUUACCCACCAUCCUUGUCAAAUAAUUAUGAGGAGCUCAUGCUUACAUGUGGAGAUUGAAAAAAAAUAAUGAUUGAAUUCCACCAAAUGAAUUAAUUUUGUUUGGCAAUUUCAUUUGAAAAUCAACAAAGAAUGAUGUGAUGUGUGAAUCUUUUUCCAUAUAUCAGCGCACAUAUUCAAAUUCAUCCCUUUCCAUUAAUCUGAUAGCGAUUAUGAGGUUGCGUAGAUGCUACGACGACGACCAAAUGUGAUGAAGAUUUCAGGAAGUGUUGGAGUGCGCAUGCUUGAGGACCAAAACUGUGAACUUGAAAUGACUAUUGAAUGCUACCAUAUGAAAUUCGGCCUGAAUCUUUUUCCAAUUCAAAUGCAGGCAGUUCCAUUAAUUUGAUAGAUAUUAUGAGGUUGCCUAUCAUGCUAAGAUAACCAAAUCCGAUGAGAAGUUCAAGAAGUGUUUUGAGUGUGUUUUAGUACUGACACCAUGAAUUCAAAAACAAAUAUAACAUAGAAACACAAAUCAAAACCCAUCACAUGAUGAUAUAGUCGAUAGGAAAUUUGCUUUCUUAAACCAUGCCACGUCCCAUGAAAAAGAAAAUUAAGAAAAUUACAAAUUUUACUUCGAUGGGCUCACAUGCUAUGUGAACCGUCCACUUAAUCGAGGUUAAGAUUAUCUUCAUUUACUUAGAAGAUAAUAAUGAAUUUUUCAAGUAAAAUUUUUUGAGAACCAGACAGCUUUGGUUUCAAAGACCCUACAUUUACCCAUCAUCCUUGUUAAAUAAUUAUGAGGAAGUCAUACUUACACGUGGAGAUUGAAAAAAAUAAUGAAUGAAUUCCACCAAACGAAUUAAUUUUGUUUGGCAAUUUCAUUUGAAAAUCAACAAAGAAUGAUGUGAGGUGUGAAUCUUUUUCCAUAUAUCAGCGCACAUAUUCAAAUUCAGCCCUUUCCAUUAAUUUGAUAGCGAUUAUGAGGUUGCGUAGAUGCUACGACGACGACCAAAUGUGAUGAAGAUUUCAGGAAGUGUUGGAGUGCGCAUGUUUGAGGACGAAAACUGUGAACUUGAAAUGACUUAGAAGAUUAAUUUAAGUUUUCAAAUACAUAAAAUAUAAUUAAUAACAUAACUUAAUACAAUAAGUUAAGGCUUCCUAAAGUCUUAAAAUAAAUAACUUUUUCCCAACCUGAAAUAUCCUUUGCCUUGGUAAUAUUCAUGUUCUUCAAGAUCAAAAUUAGUUUGUUUGAUAUAUAAUUCAAAUUAAAAGAUGGAGGGUGUGUCGGUCCUUUCUAAAUUCAAAAUUGCAUCAUCAAUCAAUCGGAUAAGGUUGUGUCCGACGGAUGAAAAUGUAAUAUUAGUUUGGACAAUGUGCCAUGGAAAGAAGAUAGAUAGAUUAAGUUCUACAUAUUCAUAUCAGUUGUCUCAGCUUUCACGGCAGACAUUUUCGACGCAAGAGACUGUCUCUUGCGGUGAGUAUUAACCACACUUCUAAACUUGGAUGUUCGAGAAGACAACUGGGAUUGAUCAGUUUUGUCUCUUUUAUUUUCAGCUUCCUAGAAUCUCUUUUUUUUUUUUUUCUCAAGGUUAAUGUCAUUUUCUAUGUUGUGGUAGAGUAGAGAAGAGCUCAGAAGGCAUGGCACAGACUGGCUGCAGCAAUGGAGAUAAUAGAUGGUCUCUCAAGGGAAUGACGGCCCUUGUAACGGGUGGAACUAGAGGAAUCGGGUCCGUGUUACCUGUUUUUCUGUUCUGGAAUGAACUUAAUUUGAUCUGUCUCUGCCAAUUAUCACCUUGUUUUUAUAUCAAUUCUGUAGGCAUGCUGUUGUGGAAGAACUGACUGGAUUAGGUGCAAGAAUACAUACAUGUUCUCGAACAGAAACUGAGCUUAAUGAAUAUUUAAGGGAUUGGGAGGGUAAAGGUUUUGAAGUCACUGGCUCAGUCUGUGAUGUAUCCUCUAGGGCCCAAAGAGAGAAGCUAAUGGAGACAGUAUCUUCUAAGUUUAAUGGGAAGCUGAAUAUCCUUGUUAGUUAACCUCUAGUUUGUUAAAUGUGGCCCAUCCAUUUUAGAAUCAUUUUCAUUAAAUAUAAUUGAUGAGUUACCCUAACCGAAUCUUUGAAUUUAGAUCAACAACGCUGGAACUGGCAAACCGGGACGGACGGUGGAGUUCACAGCUGAAGAGUUCUCAAGUAUCAUGGCUGUAAAUUUUGAAUUUGUCUACCAUCUAUGCCAACUUGCUCAUCCCCUUUUGAAGGCAUCAGGAGCGGGAAGUAUUGUGCUCAUGUCUUCUGUUGCAGGUGUAGUAUCACUCAAGUAUUUAUCUGCCUAUGGUGCAACCAAAGGUACUUCAUUCUACCAUAGGGUUUAUGUUGCAGGUCCUGAGUUGUUGGACAAGAUGAUAGAUAUUUACCUUGAUAAUUUUGCUUCAGGGGCACUGAAUCAGCUUGCGAAGAGCUUGGCAUGCGAGUGGGCGCAAGACAAUAUCAGGGCUAACUCUAUUGCUCCUUGGUUCAUCAAAACUUCUCUGGUAGAACCUGUGAGUACCCUUCACCUCAUUUGAAGUUGCUGUUGUUUUCAUUGGGAAAACUGAUUAAUAAACUAAUCUUCUGUUUUGUUUUCUUUUAUUUUUUUGGUUGUAUCAUUUUGGUUUCAGUUUCUUAGUAAGAAAAGCUUUACGGAAGAGGUAAUAAGAAGAACUCCGCUUGGUCGAGUGGGGGAUCCAAAGGAGGUGUCAUCCUUGGUAGCAUUCCUCUGCCUACCAGCAUCAUCUUACAUUACUGGCCAGACCAUUUGUGUUGAUGGUGGGAUGAGUAUUAAUUGUUUCGAUCCAAGUCAAUGCUAGAAACACCUAGCAUUUAUAUUAAUAUAUGUUGUUUUCUCAAAACCGCUUCUGUUUUUGGGAUUAUUUGCUCGUGAUAGUGACCUUGUGGUCCUAGGAUUAAUGCAUGGUUACCAAAUAUUAAGUCUAUGCUUCCAAUAAAUAUUAAAAAAUUUCUUAUUAUUCAAUCACGGAUUUCUACCUUCUUCUCCGGUCAUAGAUACUGUUUAGGUCUCCGGUGCAUUCCCCGCUCACCCACCUACAUCUGAUUGGUUGCAACGUUCAAUCACGGAUUUCUUAUUAUUCAUAUAUCUUUUAGUACAUUUUUUCAAAUUCUUGAUAUUUAUUCGUAUUAUUUGUAUAAUUUAUAUAAGAAAAAAUGAUUUAAAAUAAAAAUAUAUGGUUUAAAAUUGAUAAAAUAUCAUGAAUAACGUUUUACAAUCCAUAAGAUACAAAAAUAAAACAAACUGAUAGAAAAAUAUCGACAUUGGUUAAAAAUAAUUAAGUUAAUCGCGAGUAUAACUAAAUCAUCUCAACUUGAUGAAUGAUAAAUUCAUUUAUAAAAAAAUUUAAAAUAAAAAACCUAUUAAUUAUUGAAAAUUCAAAUAUGAUUUGAUAUAAAUGUUUUGUUAUGAAAUUUACAUUUGUAUGAAAAAAUAGUAAACUUUUCUUAAGGUUCGUAGUCCCCUGGAAACAUUUUUUAGUAUUUUUUUCGAGAGGUACAAAUUUCUUGCUUACUUUAAUAUAUUUAAGACACAAAAUUUGACAUAUAUAUUUGAUCCAUCAAUCAAAACUCCCAUCCCACACACAUUUUGUAAAGUUAGAGCCAUUAGUUUUUAUAUUCAAUUUUUACCUCUUUUUUUGCAUAUUUUAAUAAGAAUAAAUUAGAUGUUGUAAUUUCUUAUUUUAAAUAAGAGUAUGAUACCACAUUAAACGAUAAAAUAAAAAUUGUAUAUAUGUGAAAUAUAUGUCAUUAUUCAUCUUGAUAUGUAUUAUACUGUUUACCUCUUCAACAAGUUUUGUAAAAUUUUUUGUUUUGUAGUAAGUAAAGUGUGGAGAGUUACCCUCAAAGACAUGGGAUUUAAAAGAAAUAAGAAAAAGAGAAAAAUGUCAAAUAUUUCUUAUUAUAAUCACUUGAAAAAUAAGUCCAAUACACGUGGAGUUGAAAUAGGUUUACAAUCAAAGGAAGUAAAAGAAAAAAAGAUAAACUAAUCUUUCCUUGCUCCAAAAAAGAAAGAUAAUAAUGUUGAUGUGGUAAAUAAAUUAAUAAUUUUAACAUCUCCCCACAAACUCAUAAAACUCAUAAUGCGGUUGUAAGAAGUAGUGAGAGCUUAAAUAAAUUAACUUACAAUAAAAUGAAGUAAAAGAAAAAAAUUAAUUUACCCUUACUCGAUAAAUCUUUAGUAUAUUAUUAUUAUUAUUAUUAUUAUUAUUAUUAUUAUAUCUCAAAGUCAAGAUUAUGAACAUGAAAAUUAAACAUAUCGCGCUUCAAUCUUGACAAGACUAAUAUAAAGUGAGGUUUUCCCCUUCUUAUUAUUAAUAUUAUUAUUAUCACUACUACGAUAUCUUUGUUUACACUAAAAUCUUUUCUUUAAUGCCCUCAAAGUCAAGAUUACGAACAUAAAAAGCAUGUCACACUUCAAUGUUCACAAGACUAAUACAAAAUGAGGUUUCCUCCUAAAUUUAUUAUUACCAUUACAUAUCUUUGUUUACACUAAAAUCCUAUCUUUAAUACCCUAAAAGUCAACAUUAGGAACAUGAGAAACAUUUCACUAUUUAAUGUUGACAUGACUAAUACAAAGUGAGGUUUCCCUAAAUUUAUUAUUAUUAUUACAUAUCUUUGUUUUCACUAAAAUCUUAUCUUUAAUACCCUAAAAGUCAAUAUUAGGAACAUGAGAAACAUUUCACAAUUUAAUGUUGACAAGACUAAUACAAAGUGAGGUUUUCCCCUAAAUUUAUUAUUAUUAUUACAUAUCUUUGUUUCCAUUAAAAUCUUAUAUUUAAUACCCUAAAAGUCAAUAUUAGGAACAUGAAAAGUAUAUCACACUUCAAUGUUGACAAGACAUUAUACAAAGUGAAGUAUUAUUUCCAUAAUAUCUUUGCUUACACUAAAAUCUCAUCUUUAAUAUCCUUGAAGUUAAGAUUAUGAGCAUGAAAAAUAUGGCAUACUUCAAUGUUGACAAGAUUAAUACAAAGUGAGGUUUCUUCGUCAAUUUAUUAUUAUUACUACAAUAUCUUCCUACACUAAAAUCUCAUCUUUAAUAGCUCAAAGUUAAUAUUACAAGCAUGAAAGUUCAACAUGCCAUCCUCCAAUCUUAACAAGGCUAAUACAAAUUGUGAUUUCCCUAAUUUUUUUUCCAUUGUCUUUCUUUUUCUUGUACCUGUUGUGAUCGAUUUAGGUCACAAGCCAAAUAAUUGCAAGAAAAUGAACUCACACGUGAAAAUUGAGAAGGAUGAAAUAUUCUCUAACAUUGCACACUCUUAGAAGAAAAAUCAUUUGGUUGACAAUUUUAUUUGAGACUAACAAAUUGACGGAAGGACAUGAUGUGAGGCCAGCUUGUAUAUGCUUUUAUUCAAAUCUAGCCACAUGAUGAAUCCUACAAACUCCUUUCCCAUUUUUUUAUUGCAAUGUUUUAAAUGAUGCCACGUACCUAAAUUCUUGAAAUUUUGAGUCAGUUAAAGACAUGUCUGGAUGGCAUGGAGGAGAGUUAGGGGGCUAUUCGGCUUGUACCCCUUCAAAUUCAGCCUGCUCCAUUAAUUUGAUAGCUAUCGUGAGGUUGCCUAUGAUGCUAAGAUAACCAAAUGUGAUGAGGAUUUCAAAAAGUAUUCGAGUGUACUUCAGUACCAAAUCUGUGAAAUGAUUAUUGAAUGCUACCUAAUUUUGUUUGAAAUUUUCAUUUGAAAUUAAAUAAAUAAAUAUGUGAGGCCUAAAUCUUUUUCCAUCAUAUUGUACUCAUGUUCAAAGUCUGCCACUUCCAUUCAUUUGACAGCUAUAAUGAGGUUGUCUAUGAUGCUAAAAAUGACCAAACGUGAUGAUGAUUUCAAGAAGUAUUCCAGUAUAUUUUAAUUGGCAAUGUUUUAAAGAUAGGUAUCAUUCAUCCUAAAAAUUCAUCCAUUCAUGUUCAUUGCAUGGUCGAAAUGUUAUUAAACAACUAACAUUAUAAAUAUAUAAUUUAUAUUUUAUUAAAAUUAAAAAUAAUUUUUAAAAACUAAUAUGUAUAUAUAUAUAAUUAAAAACCAAUUAUAUUUAUUUUUUAAUCUUUUAUAUAAAUGUACUAAUAAUUAAAAUUUUAUUAAAUAAAAUAUGUAAAAUUUGAAAAUUGAAUAAAAUUUGCAUUAUAUAUAUAUAAAAGUUUAAAAGAUACUAGAUUAUUUUAUUCAUAUUGAAUUUCUGAAAUAAUAUACAUAUUUUUUUCUUUAGUUUCACAAACAUUAACAUUUGGAUAAGUAGCUGAGUAGUUGUUCCUGAAAAUGCUCAAGCACAUAUUAGCAAGAAUGAAGAAUUUGUUUCUAUUCUUUCAUAUUUUACAGUAGACCAAUGGCUAUAUAUAUAUAUUACAAUGUAACUAAUCUAACCAUCUAUUGAACUACCUAACCAUCUUCUAACUAAUCAUAACAACAUCUGUUAGAGAGGAGAAGAAUCAGCUGCUGGUGCGGGUGCUUGUCUAUCAUCCCCCCGCAAGCUGACAGGUCUUGGGACAAUAGAGAAAUGAGUACGAGCGGCUGAGAACUAACAGCUUGGAACAUAUUUAGUAAAGACAUCUGCCAACUGGUCGGUAGAAGGAACAUAUUGAAUUAAAAGCUCUUUGCGAAUGACCUUAUCACGGACAAAGUGAAGAUCAAUCUCUAUGUGCUUGGAACGGGCAUGGAAGACAGAGUUAGCUGCAAGAGGAGCAGCACUGAUAUUGUCACACCAGAUCAAAGGAGUGUUCGGUUGAGGAAUGCACAACUCUUUGAUCAGAAACUGAACCCAGGAGACCUCAACAGCGAGAAAAGCAAGUGCCCGGUACUCCGAUUUUGCACUACUACGAGAGACGACACGUUGCUUGGUAGAGGACCAUGAGAUGAGAUUGGUGCAAAAAAAAAAGACAAAAGCCACUAGUGCUUCUUCUAUCAUCGAGACAUGAAGCCCAAUCCGCAUCGGUAUAGCCUUGAAGAGACCAAGAUGGUGAGGCAUGGAUAGAAAGACCAUGAGUAGCAGUACCUUUGAGAUAGCGAAGUAUGUGUUUAGCAGCUUGCAGAUGAGAAGUGAUAGGAUGAGCCAUGUAUUUACAAGCUUGAUUUACUGCAAAUGAGAUUUUUGGUCUUGUGAGAGUGAUGUACUGAAGAGCACCCACAAGACUGUGAUAGUGAGUAGCAUCAAGAGCAGAUAAAGGUUCUCCAUCUGCUGCUGAUAACAAUUUUCCCAAAGCACCAAGUGUGCUAGCAGAUUUGGCCCCAAGAAGAUCAGCACGCUCAAGUAGCUGAUGUAUGUAGCGUUGUUGAUUGAGAUGAAGAACAUGAGGAAGCCGGGUGACUUCAAUGCCAAGGAAGUAGCUAAUAUCUCCAAGGUCUUGAAGAGCAAAAUGGGAGCUAAGCUGAGAAAUGAUAUGAUGGACCUGUGGUGGAUUGUUGCCAGUAAUGAGAAUAUCAUCCACAUAGAUUGAGAUGAUGAUAAUAUCAGAUGCAGAGUGGAAAUAAAAUAAAGAUGCAUCAGCCCUUGAGCAUUGGAAUCCCAAUUGUAAGAGAAAGGAGCUGAGCUUGUGGAACCAGGCUCGAGGCGCUUGUUUAAGGCCAUAGAGAGCCUUCUGUAGACGACAAACAUGAGUGGGGCAAGAGCUAUCUUCAAAGCCUAGAGGUUGCAUCAUGAACACCUGUUCUUAAAGAUCUCCAUUUAAAAAAGCAUUGUGGACAUCUAGUUGUUUAAUAGGCCAGUUGGAAGAGACAACAAUGGAGAGAACAAGCCUGAUAGUGCAAGGCUUCACAACUGGACUAAAUGUCUCAAAAAAAUCAAUGCCAUAGGUUUGAUGAAAACCUUGGGCAACCAGCUGAGCUUUGUACCUGUCAAUGCUGCCAUCAGGUUUAUGUUUGAGUUUGAAGACCCAUUUACACCCAAUAAUUUUGGCAUUAGAUGGAGGUGGCACCAAAGACCAAGUUUGAUUCUUCAAUAGAGCUUGAUAUUCUUGUUCCAUAGCAAGCUUCCAAUUAGGGUCUUGAAAAACCUGUUUGACAGUACGUGGCUCAGCUAUGAGUGAGGUAAGAUAGGUCUUCUUCUUAUAGAUACCAAAUUUGGAUCUGGUAAUCAUAGGAUGACUAGGAAUUGGAGCUAUGGAAUCCUGGAGGGAAGCAGUAGAAAUCUCAGCUGCUUCAUCCACAAAUGGCACCUGAAUGAGCGGGGGUAAAGACAAAAAGCUGGCUAGAGGUGAUGUGGGGGCAAGUUCGGAUGGGAUAGCCGGAGAAGAGCUGGUUGUGGAGGGGAAAAGAACAGAAGAUGGAGGAAAAAGAAAUGCUGGAGUGACAGGAAAAUGAGAUGAUUGGUGGGAAGGAGAAGUCAAUGCUUGAAAUGGAAAUGUAGUCUCUACAAAGACUACAUGCCUAGAGAUAUAUACUCUGCCAGUUGUAAGAUUAAGGCAAAAAUAACCCUUGUGAAAUGUUGCAUAACCAAGAAAGAUACAGGGUAUGGACUAUGGCUGAAAUUUGUUGGAGUUGAGAUGUCUGAGGUGUGGAUAACAAAGACAACCAAAGACUUUGAAAUGGAAAUAAUCAGGUGGGUGUUUGUAAAGAAGAGAAAAUGGGGAGCUGUAAUUGAGCAAAGGAGAAGGCAUGCAAUUGAUAAGGGUAAUUGUUGUAGUGAAAGCAUAGGACCAAAAUUUGGAUGGCAGGGCAGUUGUGUAAAGAAGAGUGAGCCCGAUUUCUACAACAUGGCGCAUUUUGCGUUCAACCCGACCAUUUUGUUCAGGUGUAUAAGGGCAAGAAAAUCUAUGGAGUAUACCAUGAAGAGAUAGAAACCGGAGGGUAGUGAACUUUCCACCAUGGUCUGUUUGAAGGCAUUUAAUGGUGGUCUGAAAUUGGUUUUCAACAAGAGUUUUAAAUUGAACAAAAGUGGAGUAAACCUGGUCCUUGGUGAGGAGUAAAUAUAUCCAUACAAACCUAGAGUAAUCAUCCAUGAGCAACAAAAAAUACCAGGCACCUGCGGAGGAAGGAACAGGUGUUGGUCCCCACAAGUUUGCAUGGAUGAGUUCAAGAGGAGAGGAGGCCCGGGAAGUGGACAAAGAAAAAGGAAUUUUGUGACUUUUGGCAUAACAACAAGCAUUGCAAACAUCAAUUGUUUUAUUUGAGUUAUAUGAAAUAUUACAUGUAUGAAAAAUUUUCUGAAGUAUUAUAGCAGAAGGGUGGCCAACUCGUUGAUGCCACAACAUAGUAGUGGGCUGAGUUUUUGUGAGAAACACUUGAUGUUUAGAAUUGGCAGUAGGUGAGUUGAUAGAUGAGGUAGGAAAUUUGUAGAGUCCACGUUCAAGUUGGCCUUGGAGAAGAGUCACUUUGGUAUCCUUGUCCUUGACAAAAAAUGAAAAAGGAUGAAAUUCAAGAAUGGUAUUAUUAUCAGUACAGAAUUUUGACACACUGAUGAGAUUUGAAGUGAGUUGUGGAACAUGAAGCACAUUGUGUAAAACAAAGGGUUUAGCAGAAAUGUGGAGAAAGGAAUGACCAACUUGGGUUAUGGGUAGGGACUUACCAUUGCCAACCAUCACAGAGUCAGUACCAUUGUAUGAAGUACCAUUGUGGAUAUUAGCAACUGUGUGGGAGAGAUGGUGGGUGGCGCUUGAAUCCAAAAACCAGGAGUCCGUUGAUGCUGGGGAAGGUGCUGCCAUCAUGGCUUGAGCAGGAGGAGUGGGACCAGUUUGAGAGGUUGAUGAGGCUGGUGCAUGUGGCCCUUGAUAAUUCACAUCAAAUCUGUGAUAACAAGAGAGGACCAUGUGCCCAAACUUGCCACAUAACUGACACUGUGGUUGGUUAUUUGUCCGGGAUCGAUUAUUGUUGAAUCGGUUAGGGCGAUAUCCUUGAGGAUGUUGCUGUCGUGAAUUUGGAAGAGUGUCAGGUCGUGGGGUUGGCAUGAAUGACUGAGGUGGUUUCCCUUGAGAGGGUUUGAUGGACUGUGACCUUCGUGGUCUGUUAUGAGUUGCAAUAUUGGCAAUGAGGAGGUCUUCUUCAGCAGUUGUGGUUUGAAGAUGCAGCCUCUAUUCAUGAGUCAGAAGGAUGCUAUGUACCGCAUGAAGUUGAAGGUCAUCAUCUCUAGCUGUGAGAGAAGCCAUGAUGGGGUUGUAUUCAACCCCUAGUCCACUUAGUAAUUGAAGAAUUUGAUCCUUUUCUGGCACUGGUUCUCCAAUAGCUGCUAGACUAUCAGAGAUGUGUUUGAGUUUUUGGAUGUAUUCCAUCAUGGUAAGAGGGCCUUUUUUGGUUGUUUGAAAAGCAAGUCUCAGCUGCAUUGUUCUUGCUUUGGUGGAAGCAGAGAAGCUUCAUUGGAGGGUUGUCCAUGCUUCAUGGGAUGUUCGUAGCCCAACAAUUUGGCCCAUAACAUCUGGAGUGAGAGAGGAGUAGAUCCAACUCAGGAUCAUACGAUCAUAUCUCCUCCAAACCAGAAAAUCUGGGUUCACUUCUCCGGUGGAUAUUAUUUUUGGAGGACAUGGUCUCAGACCUUCAAUAUAGUCCUCAAAUCCAUUGGCAUAUAUCACAUUUUCCAUUUGUGUAUGCCAAAGGAUAUAGUUAUCUCUAUCUAGUUUGAUAGGAAGAGGAUGGUUCAGCAUGCUCAUGUUCAGGGUAGAGGUUACCUGAGAAGAGACAAUCUCCGGCGUGGUUUGUGUUGAUGAAGCCAUCGGAAACUAGGUACAGUAUGUUCUUGAAGCUUUCUUGAGGUGAGUAAGAAAAGCAAAAGGUAAUCUGCAGAUGAUGUAUAUCAGAAGAAAGUUGCAGUAGAAAGAGUUGUUGGAGAUUUCUUUAUUGUCUUGCUGGGGAGAGAAAUCAAAAAACGAAAAUUCAUGAGCCUAUGGCUCUGAUACCAUGAAAAUGCUCAAGCACAGAUUAGCAAGAAUGAAGAAUCUGUUUCUAUUCUUUCUUAUUUUACAGUAGACCAAUGGCUAUAUAUAAAUAUUACAGUGUAACUAAUCUAACCAUCUAAUCAUCUAUUGAACCACCUAACCAUCUUCUAACUAAUCAUAACAGCAUCUGUUAGAGAGGAGAAGAAUCAGUUGCUGGUGCGGGUGCUUGUCUAUCAGUUCCAAGUUACCUUAAACCUUGAAAGGAUCAAGUCCUUUUGAUUUUGUUUAAAUAAGCUACUAAGCUACUGCUCACUCCACAUUGGAAAUUCAAGGGGAUGAAAAAAGGUUUAUAAAUCUCAUUCAUCUCCAACAGGUCACAUGGCCUUUAGGCCGUGGGAGGCAAUGCGGUGAGUGGGUCGUGUGCUCUAAAUGGAGGCCUAUUUUUGCAACAAAAGAAAGACCGAAACCAAACCAAGCAUGAACCAAAUCGGAUCAAGAUCCAGUCGACGGUCUGACUAGUUCAGUAGGAAUUUUUCAUAAUAUGGUUUAAUGGCAUGUAGAUAUUCUUUAGUCAAAGUUUUAAUAAGCCCAUCAAAAGUUGUAAUAUUUUAUGUUAUAAGUUAAUAGAGAAUAUUUUUUACUUUAAAUUUUUGUUGGUAUUUUCCCAUAAUCUAUAGUUAUUAAGGCAUUGAUAUUUUCUCAAAUUAUAGAAUUAAGUUCUAAAACAACAUUUAUUUUGACAUAGAUGAACAUUUGAAAGAUUAUAAUUUAUCUUUAACUUAUUUUUCUUUAUAACCAAAAUCUUUUCUCUCGAUUUUUCAUAAUAUUUGAUUAUGAUUAAUUAUUCAUGCAUACAAUCUAGGUCUGAAUCUAUUAUCUUCAACACUUAUUUUUAUUUUUUUAUGUCAUGUUUGAAAAUUUACUUUAGAUAGUAAGUCAAUAAAUGUUUCUAAAGGUAAAUGAGUGUUUGGUAUUAUGAUUCUUAGAUCUUGACUAGUAAGGGAUUCUUUAUAAUUUGUUCAUUUUAUUACUUGAGCUAAUUUAAUUCUCUAUUUAUUAAUUUCUUAUAUUUCAUCAUGUAAAUUUUGAAUAGUUAUAAGUUUGUGAAUAGUUUUGAAUCUAUUAAAUAUUUCAUCUAUAAUAUUGAUUAGAUUUGGGUUCUUGAAGUCUACUUAUCUCUUUAAUUUGUAAGAAUUAAAUCUUUUAAAUAUAACAAAUAUUGAAUUUUUAUGUUGAAUCCUCUAUUUUAUGACAUCAAAAAAUAUUUAUUUAUUUACUUUUGAAUAAAUCAUAUUUAUUAUUUUAUAUGAACAAACAUACUCACUUUCACAUUCAUUUUCAUCAUUAGAGUCUUCUAGACUAAUUAUAUUGGUUUAAUGUGUCUAGUAUUUGUGAUAAAUUUCAUAAAAAUAUUCAAGUGUAAAUAUUAAACUACAUAGUAUACUGUCACAUAUGACACAUUUCAAAUAGUAAAGACUAAAACCAUAAUUAAAGAUAACUUAGGUUUUAUUUUUUUUGUCAAAAAUAUUAUAAUUUUAAUUAAUUGAAUUAUUAAUUUUUCAAAAAUUUAGAAAAAAUAAAAAAUAGUAUUUUAAAAUUUGGCUCUCUUGAAAAUCAUGAGAGGAUAAAAAUUGGUAAAAAAAUAAAUAAAUUUAGAAAAGGUUAUUGAGAUUAAUUAAGUACAUCCUUGCCAUGAUAUUUAAUAUUUUUUUUAUGUUUUAUAAAUAGGGUAAAUGGACAUCGUUCUAAAUACAGGAAGAUGAUAUUAUUAUAUAUAAAAAAAAUGUAAAAAUAGUGAGUAAUAUUAUUAAAAAUAUCUCAUGGAAUGGGGCAAGAUAAAGGGCCAAAAAAAAAAAAAUUAGAGAAGAAAGAAGAAAAAGAAGAGUGUUGUAAGCACAGGAAGUCAAAAGUACUGUAUAAGCGUGAUUCAUCCCUGUUUCCUACUUCGAUUAUAAAGUAUGGACAGAGAUACAGAAAAAAAAAAAGAGAAGAAGCAGCAUUCAGCUUUCACCAGUGCAGAGUGGUAUGGUGGUGUAGCAUAUGUUUGGUUGUUAUUCUUGCUCCAAACAAGUGUGAGCUGAUCCAUUUCUAUACUCAUUUUUGUUAUCUCAGUCGACUGAUUCGUUUAGUGGGCCUGGUGUUAGCCAAAAGCUAGCCACCAAUUUUCUUUGCUUUAUCCCAUUACAUUAGAAUAAAAAGAAAAUGGAGGUUUGAGAGGGCCAUUGGGACCAUUGGGACCAUUAUCAGUUGUCUUUUGUUUUCAAGUUGUAAGAAGUCCUGUCAAGGUUUAUGUCAUUUGCUAUGUUGUUUCUGUUCCAUUUUCAGUUCAAAGAGUGGUAGAGUAGAGAAGGAGGCAUGGCUCAGACAUUUGGGUGCAGCUCUGGAGAUAGUAGAUGGUCUCUCAAGGGAAUGACUGCUCUUGUAACUGGUGGAACUAAAGGAAUUGGGUUGGUGUUACCUGUUUUUAUGUCUUUGGGUUUGGACUAUACCUUCCUAUAUAUAAACGUAUGUAUCAAUUCUGCAGGCAUGCAAUUGUGGAGGAACUGGCUGGAUUAGGAGCAACCAUACACACGUGUUCUCGAAAAGAAACUGAGCUCAAUGAAUGCUUGAAGGAUUGGAAAGCUAAAGGUUUUGGAGUGAGUGGUUCAGUGUGUGAUGUAUCCUCUCGGGCACAAAGGGAGAAGCUAAUGGAGACUGUCUCUUCUGUGUUCAAAGGGAAGCUGAAUAUCCUUGUAAGUUCCUCUAGUCUCUAAGGUUCCUAUCCAUGAUAUUCCACAUACUUUGUCGAACUUCCUACAAUUUGAGUUCCCCUACUUGAUAUAUAUAUUUUGGUUCCGGAUUCAGGUCAACAACGCUGCUAUUGUUAUUCAGAAACCAACAGUAGAGGUCACGGCAGAAGAGUUCUCAACAAUCAUGGCCAUAAAUUUUGAAUCUGUGUAUCAUCUGUCCCAACUCGCACACCCCCUUUUAAAGGCAUCAGGAGCGGGAAGCAUUGUAUUCAUCUCCUCUGUUGCCGGCGUAGUGUCAGUCAAGUAUCUGUCUGCUUAUGCAGUAACCAAAGGUAUUUCAUUACAUGAUCCACAGUAUAUAUAUAUAUCGCAAGUUCUUGGGUUGUGGCCCUUGUGGCCUUCUCGGCGUGUCAUUAUCAUUAUCAUUUUGUGAUUUUUCAGGAGCAAUGAAUCAACUUACAAAGAAUUUGGCAUGCGAGUGGGCGGAAGACAAUAUUAGAAGUAAUGCAGUUGCUCCUUGGUGCAUCAAAACUCCGAUGGUGGAUCAGGUAAUUCAGUUGCUCUUCUUUUUUGUCUGGGAAAAUUCAAUAAUCAAUUCCUCUCUCUUUUCUGUCUUUUGCAUAAUCUGGGUUGCAGAUGCUCAGUAACAAAACCUUUCUGGAAGGGGUGAUAAAUCGAGCUCCACUUCGCCGUGUGGGAGAUCCGAAGGAGGUGUCAUCUUUGGUGGCAUUCCUCUGUCUACCAGCAUCAUCUUACAUUACUGGACAGACUAUUUGUGUUGAUGGUGGCGUGACUGUUAAUGGUUUUGAGCCAAACCUGUUCUAGGAACAUCAUUAAGACUCUAAAAAAUCUUAGCUUCUUCUACCGCUUUCCUGUUUGGAUCCUGUCUUUUUCCUGAAUAAUAUGUUUGUGGUGGUAAGUACUCUUCUGUUUUUUCGGUGUGGGGUUCAUUUGAAAACAUUGUUGCAUGAUGCUUAUAAUAAUCGUUGGAAAGUUGGAAGAAGUUACUUAUCAUUGGAU
This 36900-nucleotide long non-coding RNA is filed under the name Vitis vinifera (wine grape). RNAcentral describes it as "long non-coding RNA (VVIN_LNC001744)". Lineage: Eukaryota; Viridiplantae; Streptophyta; Magnoliopsida; Vitales; Vitaceae. The record is from RNAcentral.